Small nuclear RNA from Molossus molossus (Pallas's mastiff bat), 106 nucleotides. Lineage: Eukaryota; Metazoa; Chordata; Mammalia; Chiroptera; Molossidae. The record is from RefSeq and is a predicted model, not a curated record.
GUGCUCGCUUUGGCAGCACAUAUAUUAAAAUUGGAACGAUACAGAGAAGAUUAGCAUGGCCCCUGCACAAGAUGACACACAAAUUCAUGAAGCGUUCCACAUUUUU